This is an RNA transcript of Planococcus citri (citrus mealybug), 2084 nucleotides long. RefSeq lists it as uncharacterized. The record is from RefSeq and is a predicted model, not a curated record. NCBI's taxonomy places the organism in Eukaryota, Metazoa, Arthropoda, Insecta, Hemiptera, Pseudococcidae. The transcript is spliced from 7 exons.
GUCGCAAAUUUGCAAUUAUGUGUGGGUGAAAUUGUAAGUAUUUCGACUCGUCUACAAUGUUACACCUGCAAAAGUACAAUCAUCAUUCUAACUGGUUUUUAUUUCGUCUAUUCUCAACAUUGUUACAUCGGAGCACCUCGUGUUGUUUUUUUAAACCGGUAUUUAAUUUUACCAACAUACCUACCUACUAGUAUUAGUAGCUAACUAAACUUACCUACCAUGUAUUCGACAUUAGACGACUUCUCUCGUUGGCGAGUUUUUUUAACAGUAUUGUACUGUAUGUUUUUCAAGUUCAAGUUCACGCUUCGCGCGCGGCGCGUUCGAUUAUAAUUUUUGUUAUCAGUUUUAAAAUUUAGUUACAAUGAUCGAAUUCGCGUUUUUUUUCUACUACAUUUCGGAUAUCGUGCUUAAUCAGGUCCACACUCAGCUAUACCUGCACAAAGCUUGCCUUGCCAAUUCAACGAACGAACAGUCUUACAAUGAUUGCUAUAACUACAAAGGAGGAUUAAUAUUAGUCUCGCCAGUCACAAGUUCUUAUUAUCGUUGGGCUAUGCUACUUCUGGGUGUAUUUUAUGUAUCAUUAGCCACAUCUUGGAGCGACAUAUCAGGUCGACGUCGAAAACCACUCGUGAUCAUAGCGGUCUUAAGUCAAAUCAUGGAAUCACUCACUGGCUUCGCGCAUUAUUUUUUCAUUUCGAGUAUGAUAGUGACAUUCAUUUCUAAUACGAUUUUAGAGUUCAUCGGAGGAAUGAAUAUGAUGUUCGUAGUGGCACAGAUUUACAUCUGCGAGACGUCCGCUGUAGAAAAUCGUACCAUGAGGUUGGGGCUCUUAUGGGUAGUCAGAGUUGUAUGUCAGCUAAUUGGGAACGGAAUCACAUAUUACUUUGUAUACUACAAAGUUAGAUUUUUCUUCUCGUAUGCCUUAUGUUUUGUAUUGUCAUUUAUUUCGAUGUUACUAACUGCCCUUCUAGACGAUAAAUUUGUCGUUCCGGAGGAGAAACUGAGUUUUUCGAAAUUGUUCGAUGCAACACGAAUUGCUCACAAUUUCAAAUUGGUAUUUAAGAAAAGCCUAGGGAAAAAACGACUGCUCGUUUUAUUGCUAUUGAUUGCAUACGUUUUGAUGUAUUUUGUUUAUGAAGGCGAAAAUGUAUUUUCUACUUAUUACAUUAUUAAUUCUCUACUUGGAUCGCUCUACGCUACUGACCAGCACUGGACUGCUCUUCAAGUCGUUAAAAACAUUGCACUUAUUUUCAGCACCCUGCUUUGCUGUGUCAUCCUGAGUAAAUGUUUGAAAAUACGUGAUGUUUCGAUCGGAAUUUUUGCCAGCAUCUGUAAUAUCAUCGGAGUCAUUUUUUAUUUCUUGGUUGGCCAGACAUGGCAACUUUAUGUUGAUCUGUUCAGACUUGAUCAGACUUAAUCAUCGCGUUUCAUGGGCUCCGAAGAGUAAGCCUUAACAAUGAAAUGUAGGGAAAAACUUGAAAAUUAAAAUAGCGACGAUGUUGAAUGUUUGUCAUGGAGUGAUAUUAUUCACCAGUGUUUCUUUCUUGAGCAAAUUUUACGACGGUAAAGAAUUCGGAAGGUUGUUUGGUGUGCUCAAUAUCUUCUUUUGCUUGGCUUUAAUCAGCAAAUGGGCGUAUGCAACCGUUUUUGUAAAAACUAUCGACAGCUUUCCAACAGCUGUAUACUUGAGUAGUUUAUUCUUAAAUAUUGCAGUUUUAGUGUUAUACUGCAUUUCGUUCAUGUUUUGGUGGUUGAUGAGUGAUUCUGAAGUUUUUGAAGAAUCUUAAUUAUAUGACCAUUUAUUUAUACAUAUUUUGUACACAAAAACAUUUUUGUACUCGCAGAAAAAUACGAAUAAUAUUUUGCAUUUAUUUAGACUAAGUGUGUGUUUCUGUGUUUCACUGUUUAUACAUGUGUGUACUUAUCUAGUAUCUACCUAAGAUUAUAAGUACAUAUAAGUAGGUAACUUAUGAUCUAAUUGAUCAAAAAUGUUCAUGGAUUUCGCCAUACCCACCUAUUUUAUUGUUUUUGUCAAUUUUGUUUUCUACAAAUAACUACACAUAAAAUCAACUGAUCGAGAUAAA